AUGAGCUCUGUUUCUGUGUGGGUGGUUCAGGUAAACACAUAAAGGAAUAUUAUGACUGCACCACAGUUGGAGCCCAAUGGCUAUUCCAUGUAUUAGGGGUUUUUUUAGCCUGGCAGAUGAAUUAUCCAAGUAUCAAAAUCAUCCUGGAAGCGAUCAUGUAUUUCUUAUUCUGGCUGCUUGACAAAGCAAACAAACCAUGCUCACGACAAGGCUCUGAUCUGUUUUCUCUGUUUGUCAUUCCUAAUUCAAAGGAGAACAAACCCUCUAAUAUUGUGGUAUUUAAGUUGACAGGCAAUUAUUAAGAGAUGAUCCAAACUGUUUCACCGGGAUUUGAUGGGAGGGAUGACUAACAUGGGUCCACAUCACACAGUGCACAACUCUCAGCUGCCAUUCCUCUUUCCAAAGCUGCGUAACAACCAGCAUGGAUGAAAUCAAGCAUCCAUGUGAAAACACCCUUCCUUGCAUGGGCUGCUUCAACUCAACAGUUCACCUGAGCCGAUGUUGCCUGUGCUGAGCAUGAAGAACCUUGGAAACUGCUUCCUAAGCUGCCACGGCUCUGCCGGAAACAAUAGAGCUGAUGUUGAUGGCAAAGAAUUUCCUUACAUGGGUGGAGGUCACGUAACAAAAUUAGAGCUGCCCUUACCCUACCCGGUCCAGAGCCUGAAACGGGGAAGAUAAGGAGAGGUUUUAACUGAAGUGAACAAAAAUCAUUGUGUCUGGGGAGUGAUAACAGUGCUGUGCAGUCAAUGGCACUGCAUGAGGGUAAUGGGACUUAUUUCCCUCUUCAAUCAAAGCAAAUCCCUAUAUGAGAAGGGAGAUCCCUGUCACAGAUGUUACCUUCUAUUUCAUCUUAUUAAAAAUGAAUAUUACAUUCUUA
Neopsephotus bourkii (Bourke's parrot) is the source of this 877-nucleotide long non-coding RNA. RefSeq lists it as uncharacterized. NCBI's taxonomy places the organism in Eukaryota, Metazoa, Chordata, Aves, Psittaciformes, Psittacidae. The record is from RefSeq and is a predicted model, not a curated record. The transcript is spliced from 2 exons.